RNAcentral lists this ribosomal RNA (511 nucleotides) under uncultured Chloroflexota bacterium. RNAcentral describes it as "bacterial SSU rRNA". It matches the Rfam family "Bacterial small subunit ribosomal RNA", at positions 340 to 865 of the family's 1533-position model. Lineage: Bacteria; Bacillati; Chloroflexota. The record is from RNAcentral.
UUUGGGAGGCAGCAGUGAGGAAUAUUGGUCAAUGGGCGAAAGCCUGAACCAGCAACGCCGCGUGAGGGAUGAAUGCCUUCGGGUCGUAAACCUCUUUUUUGGGAGAAGAGACAAGGACGGUAUCCCAGGAAUAAGUCUCGGCUAACUACGUGCCAGCAGCCGCGGUAAAACGUAGGAGGCAAGCGUUAUCCGGAUUUACUGGGCGUAAAGCGCACGCAGGCGGUCGUGCAAGUCGGACGUGAAAGCUCCUGGCUCAACUGGGAGAGGUCGUUCGAAACUGCACGGCUUGAGGUUGGAAGAGGAGAGCGGAAUUCCCGGUGUAGUGGUGGAAUGCGUAGAUAUCGGGAGGAACACCAGUGGCGAAAGCGGCUCUCUGGUCCACACCUGACGCUCAGGUGCGAAAGCGUGGGUAGCGAACGGGAUUAGAUACCCCGGUAGUCCACGCUGUAAACGAUGCGAACUAGGUGUUGGUAGUAUUAAACCUAUCAGUGCCGAAGCUAACGCGAUAAGU